RNAcentral lists this ribosomal RNA (472 nucleotides) under uncultured bacterium. Its description in RNAcentral is "bacterial SSU rRNA". It matches the Rfam family "Bacterial small subunit ribosomal RNA", at positions 355 to 825 of the family's 1533-position model. The record is from RNAcentral.
UGGGGAAUAUUGGACAAUGGGCGAAAGCCUGAUCCAGCCAUGCCGCGUGUGUGAAGAAGGCCUUCGGGUUGUAAAGCACUUUAAGCGAGGAGGAAUGGCUCUGGGUUAAUACCCUUGAGCAGUGACGUUACUCGCAGAAUAAGCACCGGCUAACUCUGUGCCAGCAGCCGCGGUAAUACAGAGGGUGCAAGCGUUAAUCGGAAUUACUGGGCGUAAAGCGCGCGUAGGCGGUUACGUAAGUUGGAUGUGAAAUCCCCGGGCUCAACCUGGGAAUUGCAUUCAAAACUGCGUGGCUAGAGUGUGGGAGAGGAAGGUAGAAUUCCAGGUGUAGCGGUGAAAUGCGUAGAUAUCUGGAGGAAUACAGAUGGCGAAGGCAGCCUUCUGGCCUAACACUGACGCUGAGGUGCGAAAGCAUGGGGAGCAAACAGGAUUAGAUACCCUAGUAGUCCCUGAGCGGGCUGGCAAGGCGCAU